This 318-nucleotide ribosomal RNA is filed under the name uncultured eukaryote. RNAcentral describes it as "LSU rRNA". It matches the Rfam family "Bacterial large subunit ribosomal RNA", at positions 2162 to 2479 of the family's 2925-position model. The record is from RNAcentral.
CAUGUUCUUGCGGGAACAUAGGAGCCAUCAGUGAGAUACCACUCUUUUAAUGUUAGAUUUCUAACCUUGAACCAUUAUCUGGUCAAGGAACAGUUUCAGGCGGGCAGUUUGACUGGGGCGGUCGCCUCCUAAACGGUAACGGAGGCGUACAAAGGUUUCCUCUGAACGAAUAGAAAUCGUAUCUAGAGUAUAAAGGCAUAAGGAAGCUUGACUGUGAGACCUACAAGUCGAGCAGGGACGAAAGUCGGUCUUAGUGAUCUGACGGUACUGAGUGGAAAGGCCGUCACUCAACGGAUAAAAGUUACUCUAGGGAUAACA